Long non-coding RNA from Gorilla gorilla gorilla (western lowland gorilla), 485 nucleotides. RefSeq lists it as uncharacterized. Lineage: Eukaryota; Metazoa; Chordata; Mammalia; Primates; Hominidae. The transcript has 5 exons. The record is from RefSeq and is a predicted model, not a curated record.
AUUGUUUUCCAGUGUGCUCAUAACUGCAUCAAACUGCAGAGUACAUCUUCUCUGCAAGGCCACUAAGUUUAGGACAAGCAUUAGAUUCUAAUGAAUACUCAGAGGCACAUCUUGAAUAAAUGAAAAAAUUGAGGCUCAAAGAAGUCCACCAAAUUGAGAGUGAAGUAGGGGAAACAGCAUUUAACGCUUACAUUCUAAUGAUUUGUGUAAGAGCAGCAGGACAAGCUAUAGAAAGAAAAAGGUGGAAUUAUCAGGAUGGAAUUAAAGAUGCUUCCAAACAGAGGGGAUAUCUCAAGCCAUGACUCAGAGAGUUCUCCCCACAUUAUUAAUGGUAUGGGAAUUAGGAGGAGGUCAUCUGACUCACACGGAUCACCAUAUAAUUCCUUCUGGAGAACAGAAAAAAUGCAGAAGAGGAAAACCUCCAUAUGUGAAGCUAUGGCAAGGGAGUCUCCCCACCCCGCGCUCCAACAGAGUCUGGAGAUAAA